Molecule: ribosomal RNA, 486 nt
Filed under: uncultured bacterium
Lineage: Bacteria
Description: partial 16S ribosomal RNA
Rfam family: Bacterial small subunit ribosomal RNA
Source: RNAcentral
AUUGAACGCUGGCGGCAUGCCUUACACAUGCAAGUCGAACGGCAGCACGGGUGCUUGCCCCUGGUGGCGAGUGGCGAACGGGUGAGUAAUACAUCGGAACAUGUCCUGUAGUGGGGGAUAGCCCGGCGAAAGCCGGAUUAAUACCGCAUACGAUCUACGGAUGAAAGCGGGGGACCUUCGGGCCUCGCGCUAUAGGGUUGGCCGAUAGCUGAUUAGCUAGUUGGUGGGGUAAAGGCCUACCAAGGCGACGAUCAGUAGCUGGUCUGAGAGGACGACCAGCCACACUGGGGCUGAGACACGGCCCAGACUCCUACGGGAGGCAGCAGUGGGGAAUUUUGGACAAUGGGCGAAAGCCUGAUCCAGCAAUGCCGCGUGUGUGAAGAAGGCCUUCGGGUUGUAAAGCACUUUUGUCCGGAAAGAAAUCCUUGGCUCUAAUACAGUCGGGGGAUGACGGUACCGGAAGAAUAAGCACCGGCUAACUACGUG